GACGAACGCUGGCGGUGUGCUUAACACAUGCAAGUCGAACGGAAAGGCCCUGCUUUUGUGGGGUGCUCGAGUGGCGAACGGGUGAGUAACACGUGAGUAACCUGCCCUUGACUUUGGGAUAACUUCAGGAAACUGGGGCUAAUACCGGAUAGGAGCUCCUGUUGCAUGGUGGGGGUUGGAAAGUUUCGGCGGUUGGGGAUGGACUCGCGGCUUAUCAGCUUGUUGGUGGGGUAGUGGCUUACCAAGGCUUUGACGGGUAGCCGGCCUGAGAGGGUGACCGGCCACAUUGGGACUGCGAUACGGCCCAGACUCCUACGGGAGGCAGCAGUGGGGAAUAUUGCACAAUGGGCGGAAGCCUGAUGCAGCAACGCCGCGUGCGGGAUGACGGCCUUCGGGUUGUAAACCGCUUUCGCCUGUGACGAAGCGUGAGUGACGGUAAUGGGUAAAGAAGCACCGGCUAACUACGUG
RNAcentral lists this ribosomal RNA (468 nucleotides) under uncultured bacterium. Its description in RNAcentral is "partial 16S ribosomal RNA". It matches the Rfam family "Bacterial small subunit ribosomal RNA", at positions 28 to 507 of the family's 1533-position model. The record is from RNAcentral.